RNAcentral lists this ribosomal RNA (524 nucleotides) under uncultured bacterium. RNAcentral's name for it is "bacterial SSU rRNA". It matches the Rfam family "Bacterial small subunit ribosomal RNA", at positions 355 to 896 of the family's 1533-position model. The record is from RNAcentral.
UGGGGAAUAUUGGACAAUGGACCGAGAGUCUGAUCCAGCAAUUCUGUGUGCACGAUGAAGUUUUUCGGAAUGUAAAGUGCUUUCAGUUGGGAAGAAAGAAAUGACGGUACCAACAGAAGAAGUGACGGCUAAAUACGUGCCAGCAGCCGCGGUAAUACGUAUGUCACGAGCGUUAUCCGGAUUUAUUGGGCGUAAAGCGCGUCUAGGUGGUUAUAUAAGUCUGAUGUGAAAAUGCAGGGCUCAACUCUAUAUUGCGUUGGAAACUGUAUAACUAGAGUACUGGAGAGGUAAGCGGAACUACAAGUGUAGAGGUGAAAUUCGUAGAUAUUUGUAGGAAUGCCGAUGGGGAAGCCAGCUUACUGGACAGAUACUGACGCUGAAGCGCGAAAGCGUGGGUAGCAAACAGGAUUAGAUACCCUGGUAGUCCACGCUGUAAACGAUGAUUACUAGGUGUUGGGGGUCGAACCUCAGCGCCCAAGCAAACGCGAUAAGUAAUCCGCCUGGGGAGUACGUACGCAAGUAUG